UAAUACGGAGGGUGCAAGCGUUAUCCGGAAUCACUGGGUUUAAAGGGUGCGUAGGCGGUUGUAUAAGUCAGUGGUGAAAGGCCGUAGCUUAACUAUGGGAUUGCCAUUGAUACUGUAUGACUUGAAUGAGGUUGAGGUUGGCGGAAUGUGGCAUGUAGCGGUGAAAUGCUUAGAUAUGCCAUGGAACAUCGAUUGCGAAGGCAGCUGACUGGACCUGAAUUGACGCUGAGGCACGAAAGCGUGGGGAGCGAACAGG
RNAcentral lists this ribosomal RNA (256 nucleotides) under uncultured bacterium. RNAcentral's name for it is "partial 16S ribosomal RNA". It matches the Rfam family "Bacterial small subunit ribosomal RNA", at positions 521 to 776 of the family's 1533-position model. The record is from RNAcentral.